This 819-nucleotide ribosomal RNA is filed under the name Psychrobacter sp. ENNP3_II. RNAcentral describes it as "bacterial SSU rRNA". It matches the Rfam family "Bacterial small subunit ribosomal RNA", at positions 72 to 890 of the family's 1533-position model. The record is from RNAcentral. Lineage: Bacteria; Pseudomonadati; Pseudomonadota; Gammaproteobacteria; Moraxellales; Moraxellaceae.
UAGCUUGCUAUCAGGCGUCGAGCGGCGGACGGGUGAGUAAUACUUAGGAAUCUACCUAGUAGUGGGGGAUAGCUCGGGGAAACUCGAAUUAAUACCGCAUACGUCCUACGGGAGAAAGGGGGCAACUUGUUGCUCUCGCUAUUAGAUGAGCCUAAGUCGGAUUAGCUAGAUGGUGGGGUAAAGGCCUACCAUGGCGACGAUCUGUAGCUGGUCUGAGAGGAUGAUCAGCCACACCGGGACUGAGACACGGCCCGGACUCCUACGGGAGGCAGCAGUGGGGAAUAUUGGACAAUGGGGGAAACCCUGAUCCAGCCAUGCCGCGUGUGUGAAGAAGGCCUUUUGGUUGUAAAGCACUUUAAGCAGUGAAGAAGACCUAACGGUUAAUACCCGUUAGCGAUGACAUUAGCUGCAGAAUAAGCACCGGCUAACUCUGUGCCAGCAGCCGCGGUAAUACAGAGGGUGCAAGCGUUAAUCGGAAUUACUGGGCGUAAAGCGAGCGUAGGUGGCUUGAUAAGUCAGAUGUGAAAUCCCCGGGCUUAACCUGGGAACUGCAUCUGAAACUGUUAGGCUAGAGUAGGUGAGAGGGAAGUAGAAUUUCAGGUGUAGCGGUGAAAUGCGUAGAGAUCUGAAGGAAUACCGAUGGCGAAGGCAGCUUCCUGGCAUCAUACUGACACUGAGGCUCGAAAGCGUGGGUAGCAAACAGGAUUAGAUACCCUGGUAGUCCACGCCGUAAACGAUGUCUACUAGUCGUUGGGUCCCCUUGAGGACUUAGUGACGCAGCUAACGCAAUAAGUAGACCGCCUGGGGAGUACGGCCGCA